Molecule: ribosomal RNA, 128 nt
Filed under: Notechis scutatus (mainland tiger snake)
Lineage: Eukaryota; Metazoa; Chordata; Lepidosauria; Squamata; Elapidae
Source: RNAcentral
CAUUACAGUCACAGCAGUUGGUAACUUCUAUCGUAGCUGAGUUUGGUUGAAACCCAAAGCUAAGCAAGAUUGAACCUGAUUAGUACUUGGUUGGGAAAUUCCCAAUAAAUUCAGGGUUUCUGUGUUGU